RNAcentral lists this ribosomal RNA (484 nucleotides) under uncultured bacterium. RNAcentral's name for it is "partial 16S ribosomal RNA". It matches the Rfam family "Bacterial small subunit ribosomal RNA", at positions 28 to 523 of the family's 1533-position model. The record is from RNAcentral.
GACGAACGCUGGCGGCGUGCUUAACACAUGCAAGUCGAACGAUGAAGCCGGAGCUUGCUCUGGUGAAUUAGUGGCGAACGGGUGAGUAACACGUGAGUAACCUGCCCUUGACUCUGGGAUAACUGCUAGAAAUGGUAGCUAAUACCGGAUACGACCCUCGGAGGCAUCUCCAGGGGGUGGAAAGAACUUCGGUCAAGGAUGGACUCGCGGCCUAUCAGCUAGUUGGUGAGGUAAUGGCUCACCAAGGCGACGACGGGUAGCCGGCCUGAGAGGGGGGCCGGCCACACUGGGACUUAGACACGGCCCAGACUCCUACGGGAGGCAGCAGUGGGGAAUAUUGCACAAUGGGCGCAAGCCUGAUGCAGCAACGCCGCGUGAGGGAUGACGGCCUUCGGGUUGUAAACCUCUUUUAGUAGGGAAGAAGCGAAAGUGACGGUACCUGCAGAAAAAGCACCGGCUAACUACGUGCCAGCCGCCGCCGUAA